RNAcentral lists this ribosomal RNA (1401 nucleotides) under metagenome. Its description in RNAcentral is "bacterial SSU rRNA". It matches the Rfam family "Bacterial small subunit ribosomal RNA". The record is from RNAcentral.
AAAAAAGGGUAACCUUUUAGUGGCAAACGGGUGAGUAAUACGUGGGAACAUGCCUUUUGGUGGGGAAUAACUUUGGGAAACCAAAGGUAAUGCCGCAUAAGUUUGUACAAUUUAUUUGUAUAAAGAAAGAUUUAUCGCCGAAAGAUUGGCCCGCGCUAGAUUAGAUAGUUGGUGGGGUAAUAGCUUACCAAGUCUAAGAUCUAUAGCUGGUCUGAGAGGAUGAUCAGCCACACUGGGAUUGAGAUACGGCCCAGACUCCUACGGGAGGCAGCAGUGAGGAAUAUUGGACAAUGGGGGAAACCCUGAUCCAGCGAUGCCGCGUGAAUGAUGAAGGCCUUUGGGUUGUAAAGUUCUUUUACCUGUGAAGAUUAUGACUGUAACAGGAGAAAAAGCUCCGGCUAAUUCCGUGCCAGCAGCCGCGGUAAUACGGAGGGAGCUAGCGUUGCUCGGAAUUACUGGGCGUAAAGGGUACGUAGGCGGUUUUUUAAGUAGAAUGUGAAAGCCCUGGGCUCAACCUAGGAACUGCAUUCUAAACUGGGAAACUUGAAUGUGGUAGAGGAAGAUGGAAUUUCUAGUGUAGAAGUGAAAUUCGUAGAUAUUAGAAGGAACGCCGGAGGCGAAGGCGAUCUUCUGGACCAUUAUUGACGUUGAGGUACGAAAGCGUGGGUAGCAAACGGGAUUAGAGACCCCGGUAGUCCACGCUGUAAACGGUGAGUGCUAAAUGUUGGGGAUUUUUUCUUCAGUGUUGAAGCUAACGCGUUAAGCACUCCGCCUGAGGACUACGAUCGCAAGAUUAAAACUUAAAGGAAUUGACGGGGGCUCGCACAAGCGGUGGAGCAUGUGGUUUAAUUCGACAAUACGCGCAAAACCUUACCAGCUCUUGACAUAUGAAUUAAGGAACUUAGAGAUUUGUUCCGUCGGUUCGGCCGGAUUCUAUACAGGUGUUGCAUGGCUGUCGUCAGUUCGUGUUGUGAAAUGUUAGGUUAGGUCCUGUAACAAACGAAACCCUUAUCCUCUGUUGCCAGCAAGUUAUGUUGGGCACUCUGAGGAAACUGCCGGUGGUAAACCGGAGGAAGGUGGGGGUGAUGUCAAGUCCUCAUAGCCCUUAUGAGCUGGGCUACACAUGUGCUACAAUGGUGACUACAAUGGGUUACAAUAGAGUAAUCUGGAGUUAAUCCUCAAAGGUCGUCUCAGUUCGGAUUGUUCCCUGCAACUCGGGAGCAUGAAGUUGAAAUCGCUAGUAAUCGCAGAUAAGUACGCUGCGGUGAAUACGUUCACGGGCCUUGUACACACCGCCCGUCAAGUCAUGGGAGUUGUUUUUACCUUAAAGUAGUGUGCUAACCGCAAGGGGGCAGCUAAAUAAGGUAGGGGCGAUGACUGGAACUAAGUCGUAACAAGGUA